RNAcentral lists this transfer RNA (87 nucleotides) under Candidatus Lloydbacteria bacterium RIFCSPHIGHO2_01_FULL_49_22. RNAcentral's name for it is "tRNA-Leu". It matches the Rfam family "tRNA". Rfam says of the family: Transfer RNA (tRNA) molecules are approximately 80 nucleotides in length. Lineage: Bacteria; Candidatus Lloydiibacteriota. RNAcentral also lists the same sequence under 1 other name. The record is from RNAcentral.
GCCCGGGUGGCGAAAUUGGUAGACGCACUACCUUGAGGUGGUAGCGCUCGUAAGGGCAUGGAGGUUCAAAUCCUCUCUCGGGCACAA